CGGCCAAACAGCCGACAGCCGACACGCAUACAUCCACGAGCCUUCACAAUUAACCCCGCAUUAAUAUUUCAUUUGGCUGUUCAGUCGCUUCAUUCACAUUCACCAGAGUGCGCGUUCCUCUACGGGGCAAGUUCUCACAAUCGCUGUUGGUGGCUUAGUAAUUCGGUGAUCCACUGAAAGUUGGUCACUGAGUGGAAAGGUGAUCUCUACAAGUCUUGAUGGUUGAGCAGUGAUGUCGGCGCCGAUAGCCAAGUGGUUAAGGGUGCCAACAUACAGCCCUGAGGUGCUUACGACGACCAGAGUUCAAUUACGAUCCUGUUCCCCUCUCACUGCUCCCCACACUGUCUCAACUGUACUGUCCUACUAGUCAUCCAGUCUCCCUCCGAAAAACAGAAACCCAUACAAGUUUGGAACUAUUUGAGUGUGAAUAAAGCAUGACUAAAUGUUAUAAUUGGAUUGAUAACGUUUCCUUUUGAUGACCCACCUGAUCCCAAGCAGCUGGCCGAAAAACUUGCCUAAUGAGACAAAAGAGGCCACAGACACGCCAACCAUCCCACGCAGCCUUUUGGGGGCGCACUCCAAAAUAUACAUUGUGUGGACAGUCAGACUGACACCUGUAAAAACAUCAGUCAUAUAGGUGAUACGAACCCGUGCCACCAUGAUCAUCUCAAACGAGAGCGCAGUUUUACUGAACAAUAUGAGGAUGGCUCCACUGAUUGCCAAAACAUUGUUCAAAAGAAGAGUCGUCUUCCUAUGGAGGAUUAAAAACACACGUCAUAUUCUAUAAAACAUCAACUAUGAUGAACUUCUGAUAAAUGGUUUUAAGAUUGAACUGCUUUAUAGUAUGUUGUUUUCUGAGUCAGAUUCUCUAUACAUGCUAUUAUGUUGCCAAAUAAUCGACAUGCAAGUCAAUGAACACCAAACCAAGUCAAGUUCAAAGCACAGAGUUUAAUUAAACGGUUAUCAUUUAUAUUGUCAUGUAAUUUUAAAAUCAACAACAGAAACAGAAGACAUGUUAAAUGUACAAAUUAAAGGCAACUAGAAAACUAAGAGCUAAAGUACAUUGACAUUGCUCUGUUGGCUAAUGGGUAAAGCUAAACACUGUUUAACAAAUAACUAUGAAUAAAA
Molecule: long non-coding RNA, 1128 nt
Organism: Danio aesculapii
Lineage: Eukaryota; Metazoa; Chordata; Actinopteri; Cypriniformes; Danionidae
Exons: 4
Source: RefSeq, a predicted model, not a curated record